RNAcentral lists this ribosomal RNA (468 nucleotides) under uncultured bacterium. Its description in RNAcentral is "partial 16S ribosomal RNA". It matches the Rfam family "Bacterial small subunit ribosomal RNA", at positions 28 to 507 of the family's 1533-position model. The record is from RNAcentral.
GACGAACGCUGGCGGCGUGCUUAACACAUGCAAGUCGAACGGAAAGGCCCUGCUUUUGUGGGGUGCUCGAGUGGCGAACGGGUGAGUAACACGUGAGUAACCUGCCCUUGACUUUGGGAUAACUUCAGGAAACUGGUGCUAAUACCGGAUAGGAGCUCCUGCUGCAUGGUGGGGGUUGGACAGCUUCGGCGGUUGGGGAUGGACUCGCGGCUUAUCAGCUUGUUGGUGGGGUAGUGGCUUACCGAGGCUUUGACGGGUAGCCGGCCUGAGAGGGUGACCGGCCACAAUGGGACUGAGGGACGGCGCAGACGCCAACGGGAGGCAGCAGUGGGGAAUAUGGCACAAUGGGCGGAAGCCUGAUGCGGCGACGCCGCGUGCGGGAAGACGGCCUUCGGGUUGUAAACCGCUGUCGCCUGUGACGAAGCGUGAGUGACGGUAAUGAGUAAAGAAGCACCGGCUAACUACGUG